Haliotis rubra (blacklip abalone) is the source of this 503-nucleotide long non-coding RNA. RefSeq lists it as uncharacterized. Lineage: Eukaryota; Metazoa; Mollusca; Gastropoda; Lepetellida; Haliotidae. The record is from RefSeq and is a predicted model, not a curated record. The transcript is spliced from 2 exons.
GAUGAACAACUUCUUUAUUCGGAUGAUGGGACGUUUCGAGACAGAUUCUUGUAUCGUUGUCAAGCAAGAAUGAGUCAGACUGAAACAGGUUGAAAUAUAUAUGCAGUGAAAUAGUUAACAAGAACAACAUGAAGUAAUAGGGAAGUACACUAACAAUGUGAUGACAAUGGAUUACAGGUGGAAGCCAGUUACAAUGGAUUACAUUAGAAGCCAGUGACAAUACGAUGACAAGGAUUUUCAUGUAGAAGCCAUUGACUAUGUGAUGACAAGGGUUUACAGGUAGAAGCCAGUGACAAUGUGAUGACAAGGGUUUUCAUGUAGAAGCCAGUGACAAUGGAUAACAUUAGAAGCCAGUGGGAUGUACAGAGGUGUUGGACAUGUUUAUACAAGUUACACGAGCAGUUAGGGUUGUUCAUCCAUAAAGUUUUGUCCUUAUCACAUUUACAUAUGUUUAUAAUAUGUUUGAUUCAUAUAUUUGUUAAAUAAACAGAAUGCUAAUCGAC